This 467-nucleotide ribosomal RNA is filed under the name uncultured bacterium. RNAcentral describes it as "partial 16S ribosomal RNA". It matches the Rfam family "Bacterial small subunit ribosomal RNA", at positions 29 to 507 of the family's 1533-position model. The record is from RNAcentral.
ACGAACGCUGGCGGCGUGCUUAACACAUGCAAGUCGAACGGAAAGGCCCUGCUUUUGUGGGGUGCUCGAGUGGCGAACGGGGGAGUAACACGUGAGUAACCUGCCCUUGACUUUGGGAUAACUUCAGGAAACUGGGGCUAAUACCGGAUAGGAGCUCCUGCUGCAUGGUGGGGGUUGGAAAGUUUCGGCGGUUGGGGAUGGACUCGCGGCUUAUCAGCUUGUUGGUGGGGUAGUGGCUUACCAAGGCUUUGACGGGUAGCCGGCCUGGGAGGGUGACCGGCCCCAUUGGGACUGAGAUACCGCCCAGACUCCUACGGGGGGCAGCAGUGGGGAAUAUUGCACGAUGGGCGGAAGCCUGAUGCAGCAACGCCGCGUGCGGGAUGACGGCCUUCGGGUUGUAAACCGCUUUCGCCUGUGACGAAGCGUGAGUGACGGUAAUGGGUAAAGAAGCACCGGCUAACUACGUG